UUAGUUCAUCUUCCUUGUCUUUUCUUUCUUCGUUUAUGUUGUCUCUUUGUUCUCUUUUUGUCUCUCUCUCGUUAAAACCCUAUUCAUCUCCUCCAACUUCCUCAAAUUGAGAUUCUUUCUCUCUUUAAUUUCUCUUCUUUCGUAUCACUUUUGCCACCUUUGCCAUCGUUCGCUUGCUUUCUUUCUUCUUCUCUUUCUUUCGUUUUUACCCUAUUCCUUUCUUUCUCUUCCUUUAGGAAACCCUCAUUUUGAUUCCCCCUUUUUUUUUUUUGGAAUUUUAACGCAUCUCCUGUAAUGUGAAUCAUGAAAUGCUCUCCAGGGAUUAUGAUGGAAAUCUGUGGAGUUGUAGAGAGGCGCUGAGGAGGAACGAUCGAUUUUCGUGAUGAGAUCCUACAACGGAUUUCAUCAGAAGAACCUUUUGAUUUUCUAGCUGAGGAGGAACGAUCGAUUGUCGUGAUGAGAUCUAGCAACAGAUUUCAUCGGAAGAACCUUUUCAUUUUCUAUUCCAUCAGCUCCAGUUUUCGUGUGUCCGCGCAAUGGAGCUGUACGACCGGUCCAGCGAGGGUUUCUGAUUUGAUCAGUCUUCAGAGUGGAUCGAAAUUUGCCUCGAAGAAAUUGAAAAAAAUUCCACACUAGCCAGAACGAGGGAGAAUCGGUAUCACAGAAUGAUCUUUUAUUGCUCUUCAAAGAGAAGGUACUAUAGUACACUGUUUCUACUAUACUGUUUUUUGCUUGGAUGUUGCAUUGAUAUAUGAGUCUUGUUGCUGCAGUGUUUCCAAGUGGAAGCAUUGCUUUUCUCCCAAUCUUCAUUAUUAUAGAAUUUUGCAUAAAGUUCGCUACUAAUUAUUGAUCAUAUUGUGGAUAUAUAGAGUAUAGGCUGAUAGAGUUAUUGGAAGUGAUUUUUAAAUAGAUUUUGGUUGCCUGUUAAUUGAAGGGAAACAAAUGUAUGUUCCUUUAAUCGUAGUCAGAUAUUUACUUUGCAUUGAUUUUUCAAGAAACCAGAAAACAUUGUUGUUGAUAUGCUUCCUGUUCAUCCAAUUAGACCUAACAUGAAAUAUUUGAAUUCUGUUGAUCAAUAUACCUGCUACCCAACAGUUUGUAGAUGGAAAAAAUUGGCCACUGUAUAUGUCUUUGCUUUGAUGGAGAAUGUACGAAAAUUUUCUGAUACAAGACUUCUCCGAGCUAGACUCUACCUAGCUGGAAAGUUCUCUCAUUAUGAUACAGAUAGUGUAAAAUCAUCUCCAAGGCUAUUUAACAUGUGUUCUCAUAUAUGCGACUCAGAGGGACAAUUGUAUUUUAUGAAGGUAACUUGAUGUAUCAUCUGUUUUAUUCUUGCCUGAAGCAUGAAAGUUUCCUUUAUAGAUUUUGUUCCUAUGUGAUAAAUGAGAUUGCCU
This is a non-coding RNA of Arachis ipaensis, 1394 nucleotides long. NCBI's taxonomy places the organism in Eukaryota, Viridiplantae, Streptophyta, Magnoliopsida, Fabales, Fabaceae. The record is from RefSeq and is a predicted model, not a curated record.